This 301-nucleotide ribosomal RNA is filed under the name uncultured bacterium. Its description in RNAcentral is "partial 16S ribosomal RNA". It matches the Rfam family "Bacterial small subunit ribosomal RNA", at positions 509 to 807 of the family's 1533-position model. The record is from RNAcentral.
CAGUCGCCACGGUAAUACGUAGGGUGCAAGCGUUAAUCGGAAUUACUGGGCGUAAAGCGUGCGCAGGCGGUUUGUUAAGACAGAUGUGAAAUCCCCGGGCUCAACCUGGGAACUGCAUUUGUGACUGGCAGGCUAGAGUAUGGCAGAGGGGGGUGGAAUUCCGCGUGUAGCAGUGAAAUGCGUAGAUAUGCGGAGGAACACCGAUGGCGAAGGCAGCCCCCUGGGCCAAUACUGACGCUCAUGCACGAAAGCGUGGGGAGCAAACAGGAUUAGAUACCCCUGUAGUCCCUGUCUCUUAUAC